This 599-nucleotide unclassified non-coding RNA is filed under the name Neoarthropsis hispanica. RNAcentral describes it as "[Arthropsis] hispanica sequence contains ITS1, 5.8S rRNA gene and ITS2". The stretch from base 231 to 384 matches the Rfam family "5.8S ribosomal RNA". Lineage: Eukaryota; Fungi; Ascomycota; Eurotiomycetes; Onygenales; Neoarthropsidaceae. The record is from RNAcentral.
UUACAGUGCCAGCCGGGCCCCCCCGUUGCCCCCCGCAAGGGAUGCAGCAUGGGCGGUGGCCCUGGCUAAACGGCCCCACACUUGUCUAUCGACCGCGUUGUCUCGGCGGGACGUCCGCAUCGUCGGCGACCGGGGAGCCCCUGAGGUCCCCUGGCCAGCGCCCGCCCGAGUACCGUUCGAACCACUGUUUUCAGCUAGUGAAGUCUGAGAGAAUAUUUUUAAUAUUACAAAACUUUCAACAAUGGAUCUCUUGGUUCCGGCAUCGAUGAAGAACGCAGCGAAAUGCGAUAAGUAAUGUGAAUUGCAGAAUUCCGUGAAUCAUCGAAUCUUUGAACGCACAUUGCGCCCUCUGGUAUUCCGGGGGGCAUGCCUGUCCGAGCGUCAUUGCAACCCCUCAAGCACGGCUUGUGUUAUGGGCGGACGUCCCCUUAGCCGGUGGACGGGCCCCAAAUGCAGUGACCGAGGCCGUGAUUCCGGCGCCCGAGCGAAUGGGAUUUCCACCAGCUCUAGUGGCCCGGCCGGUCCUCAGGUCCCGACCAAUUUCAUUUCAAGGUUGACCUCGGAUCAGGUAGGGAUACCCGCUGAACUUAAGCAUAUCA